RNAcentral lists this ribosomal RNA (492 nucleotides) under uncultured bacterium. Its description in RNAcentral is "partial 16S ribosomal RNA". It matches the Rfam family "Bacterial small subunit ribosomal RNA", at positions 29 to 507 of the family's 1533-position model. The record is from RNAcentral.
AGUGAACGCUGGCGGUAGGCCUAACACAUGCAAGUCGAACGGCAGCACAGUAAGAGCUUGCUCUUACGGGUGGCGAGUGGCGGACGGGUGAGGAAUACAUCGGAAUCUACUUUUUCGUGGGGGAUAACGUAGGGAAACUUACGCUAAUACCGCAUACGACCUACGGGUGAAAGCAGGGGAUCUUCGUACCUUGCGCGAUUGAAUUAGCCGAUGUCGGAUUAGCUAGUUGGCGGGGUAAAGGCCCACCAAGGCGACGAUCCGUAGCUGGUCUGAGAGGAUGAUCAGCCACACUGGAACUGAGACACGGUCCAGACUCCUACGGGAGGCAGCAGUGGGGAAUAUUGGACAAUGGGCGCAAGCCUGAUCCAGCAAUACCGCGUGGGUGAAGAAGGCCUUCGGGUUGUAAAGCCCUUUUGUUGGGAAAGAAAAGCAGCAGGUUAAUACCCCGCUGUUCUGACGGUACCCAAAGAAUAAGCAACGGCUAACUUCGUG